GUUUUAUGAUGAGAUCAAUUGGUCCGUGUUUCUGAGGCAGCCUCAAGACCUGCUACUUGAAC
RNAcentral lists this small nucleolar RNA (62 nucleotides) under Scedosporium apiospermum. RNAcentral describes it as "Small nucleolar RNA SNORD18". It matches the Rfam family "Small nucleolar RNA SNORD18". From Rfam's summary of the family: U18 is a member of the C/D class of snoRNA which contain the C (UGAUGA) and D (CUGA) box motifs. It is encoded in introns of ribosomal protein L1 in Xenopus and human, and in introns of elongation factor 1 beta in yeast. The record is from Rfam by way of RNAcentral. RNAcentral also lists the same sequence under 1 other name. Lineage: Eukaryota; Fungi; Ascomycota; Sordariomycetes; Microascales; Microascaceae.